AUCAUCGUCGGCGCAUUCAUCGGCGAAUGCAGCCCCCAGAGUCGCGACGAGGGAAACG
RNAcentral lists this small RNA (58 nucleotides) under Sinorhizobium meliloti 2011. RNAcentral describes it as "putative ncRNA". The record is from RNAcentral. Lineage: Bacteria; Pseudomonadati; Pseudomonadota; Alphaproteobacteria; Hyphomicrobiales; Rhizobiaceae.